GCCGAGAGCAGUGGAGACGGGUGUUCUCACCUGGGGGCAGGCCUGCCCACCCAGGGUCAUUGGCAACAUCUGGGGAACCUUCUGGUUGUUGUAACGGGGGUGGAGGGUGCUCCUGGCUUCCAGCAGGCAGAGGCAGUGGGGAGUCGGGAGCAUCCUGGCCGGAGGGGCCGGGGAAGAGGUGCUGUGUGCCCUGGGCUGCCAGGAGCAAGCACGGGUUUAAAACCCUGCUGAGGAUUUUCUUUUUAAUUUUUUCGUGGGAGACACAGAGAGAGAGGCAGAGACACGGGCAGAGGAAGGAGCAGGCCCCAUGCAGGGAGCCCAAUGCAGGACUCAAUCGUGGGUCUCCGGGAUCACACCCUGGGCCAAAGGCAGCCGCUCAACCGCUGAACCACCCAGGGAUCCCUCUGCUGAGGAUUUUAAACACACCCUGCUGAGGCCUCCCCUGGCCAAGCCUGAGGGGGGCCCUCUGAUGCCCACAGAAGACACUCAGGCGAGCACCACUAUAGCACCUAUGGCUGAAGGGGGAACUGAGGCCCAGAGGAGCUAUCCCCACCUGCCAGAAGCAGGCAAAGGCCAGCAAAGAGCUGCAGCUCUGGGGCCAGCACCACCUCCCUGGCCUCCUGGGCCGCUGCCCCAGCAGAGCCUCAGCCGCCGCCAAGGUAACUGUGCCGGGCACCCCUGAGCACUAACUGCUUCCAGAUGCCCUGCCCGGGGCAGGAGGGGGCCAUGCAGGCUGG
Molecule: long non-coding RNA, 737 nt
Filed under: Vulpes vulpes (red fox)
Lineage: Eukaryota; Metazoa; Chordata; Mammalia; Carnivora; Canidae
Description: lncRNA (ENSVVUG00000017936.1)
Source: RNAcentral